RNAcentral lists this ribosomal RNA (279 nucleotides) under uncultured bacterium. Its description in RNAcentral is "partial 16S ribosomal RNA". It matches the Rfam family "Bacterial small subunit ribosomal RNA", at positions 506 to 784 of the family's 1533-position model. The record is from RNAcentral.
UGCCAGCAGCCGCGGUAAUACGAAGGGUGCUAGCGUUGUUCGGAAUUAUUGGGCGUAAAGCGCGUGUAGGCGGUUCGUUAAGUCUGAUGUGAAAGCCCGGGGCUCAACCCCGGAAGUGCAUUGGAAACUGGCGAAUUUGAGUACGGGAGAGGAAAGUGGAAUUCCGAGUGUAGGGGUGAAAUGCGCAGAUAUUUGGAGGAACACCAGUAGCGAAGGCGGCACUCUGGGCCGGUACUGACGCUGAGGAGCGAAAGCGUGGGGAGCGAACAGGAUUAGAUA